AAACCAACAGGGAUUGCCUCAGUAGCGGCGAGUGAAGCGGCAAGAGCUCAGAUUUGAAAUCGUGCUUUGCGGCACGAGUUGUAGAUUGCAGGUUGGAGUCUGUGUGGAAGGCGGUGUCCAAGUCCCUUGGAACAGGGCGCCCAGGAGGGUGAGAGCCC
RNAcentral lists this ribosomal RNA (158 nucleotides) under uncultured Pichia. Its description in RNAcentral is "partial 26S ribosomal RNA". It matches the Rfam family "Eukaryotic large subunit ribosomal RNA", at positions 62 to 221 of the family's 3401-position model. Lineage: Eukaryota; Fungi; Ascomycota; Saccharomycetes; Saccharomycetales; Saccharomycetaceae. The record is from RNAcentral.